RNAcentral lists this ribosomal RNA (440 nucleotides) under uncultured bacterium. RNAcentral describes it as "partial 16S ribosomal RNA". It matches the Rfam family "Bacterial small subunit ribosomal RNA", at positions 338 to 795 of the family's 1533-position model. The record is from RNAcentral.
CCUACGGGAGGCAGCAGUGGGGGAUAUUGCACAAUGGGGGAAACCCUGAUGCAGCGACGCCGCGUGAGCGAUGAAGUUUUUCGGUAUGUAAAGCUCUAUCAGCAGGGAAGAAAAUUACCGUACCUGACUAAGAAGCCCCUGCUAACUACGUCCCAGCAGCCGCGGUAAUACGUAGGGCGCACGCGUUCUCCGGAUUUACUGGGUGUAAAGGGAGCGUAGACGGCAGUGCAUGUCUGAAGUGAAAGGCAAGGGCUCAACCUUUGGACUGCUUUGGAAACUGUGCUGCUGGAGUGUCGGAGAGGCAAGUGGAAUUCCUGGUGUAGGGGUGAAAUGCGUAGAUAUUAGGAGGAACACCAGUGGCGAAGGCGACUUGCUGGACGAUGACUGACGUUGAGGAGCGAAAGCGUGGGGAGCAAACAGGAUUAGAUACCCCAGUAGUC